GGCAGGAAUGUUAAAGGCAACGAUAUGGGGAUGUUUGCUCAUGGUGGAACAGAUGUCCUAAGGAGUCUCAUGAAGACAACGAGCAGACUGGAAAUUCCAACGCUUCUGGGAGCUCUGGGCCAGGAACCUGAGACGCAAAGAUUAGUCUCUUUCAGGCAGACCUGGGACUCCCCUGCUCUCUCCUACGGCGUACAUCCCUCCACCGCUUGUAAGAAUACUGUUAUUGGUAUUUGGGGUCAGGACUUGGAUUGUUUUCAUCCCCAACACCUAACAUGGAAUCCAGCACAUUGUAGUUCAAUCAUCUUUGCUAAAUUAGCCUACCCUUUUAUCUGACCUUCCAUAAUGCUAUGGCAUAGCUCUUCUUUCUGCCUCAACACCAGUUCCUC
Long non-coding RNA from Ailuropoda melanoleuca (giant panda), 386 nucleotides. RefSeq lists it as uncharacterized. Lineage: Eukaryota; Metazoa; Chordata; Mammalia; Carnivora; Ursidae. The record is from RefSeq and is a predicted model, not a curated record. The transcript is spliced from 3 exons.